GAUGAACGCUGGCGGCGUGCCUAACACAUGCAAGUCGAACGGAAAGGCCCAAGCUUGCUUGGGUACUCGAGUGGCGAACGGGUGAGUAACACGUGGGUGAUCUGCCCUGCACUUCGGGAUAAGCCUGGGAAACUGGGUCUAAUACCGGAUAGGACCACUUCUUGGAUGUUGUGGUGGAAAGUUUUUUCGGUGUGGGAUUAGCUCGCGGCCUAUCAGCUUGUUGGUGGGGUAGUGGCCUACCAAGGCGUCGACGGGUAGCCGGCCUUAGAGGGUGUACGGCCACAAUGGUACUAAGAUACGGCCCAGACUCCUACGGGAGGCAGCAGUGGGGAAUAUUGCACAAUGGGCGCAAGCCUGAUGCAGCGACGCCGCGUGGGGGAUGACGGCCUUCGGGUUGUAAACUCCUUUCGCUAGGGACGAAGCGUUUUGUGACGGUACCUGGAGAAGAAGCACCGGCUAACUACGUG
This 467-nucleotide ribosomal RNA is filed under the name uncultured bacterium. RNAcentral describes it as "partial 16S ribosomal RNA". It matches the Rfam family "Bacterial small subunit ribosomal RNA", at positions 28 to 507 of the family's 1533-position model. The record is from RNAcentral.